CGACCGGCGCACGGGUGAGUAACACCGUAUGCAACCUGGCCGUCACAGGUGGAUAACCGGAAGAAAUUCCGACUAAUACAGCAUAACACUCCUGAGGGACAUCCUUCGGGAGUCAAAGGAGGCAACUCCGGUGACGGAUGGGCAUGCGGCGCAUUAGGUAGUUGGUAGGGUAACGGCCUACCAAGCCGACGAUGCGUAGGGGUUCUGAGAGGAAGGUCCCCCACAUUGGAACUGAGACACGGUCCAAACUCCUACGGGAGGCAGCAG
RNAcentral lists this ribosomal RNA (267 nucleotides) under uncultured bacterium. Its description in RNAcentral is "partial 16S ribosomal RNA". It matches the Rfam family "Bacterial small subunit ribosomal RNA", at positions 92 to 354 of the family's 1533-position model. The record is from RNAcentral.